UACAGAGGGUGCGAGCGUUAAUCGGAAUUACUGGGCGUAAAGCGUGCGUAGACGGUUAUUUAAGUCGGAUGUGAAAGCCCCGGGCUCAACCUGGGAAUUGCAUUCGAGACUGAAUAGCUAGGGUGCGGUAGAGGGAAGCGGAAUUUCCGGUGUAGCGGUGAAAUGCGUAGAGAUCCGGAGGAAGACCGGUGGCGAAGGCGGCCUGCUGGGCAGUUACUGACACUGAGGCGCGACAGCGUGGGGAGCAAACAGG
This 253-nucleotide ribosomal RNA is filed under the name uncultured bacterium. RNAcentral describes it as "partial 16S ribosomal RNA". It matches the Rfam family "Bacterial small subunit ribosomal RNA", at positions 524 to 776 of the family's 1533-position model. The record is from RNAcentral.